CUUGAGCAAGCCAUGGUGAACAUCAGCUCCUGCCUCCAGGAUCCUGACCUGUUUGAGUUCCUGUCCUGACUUCAUUCAAUAAUGAACAACAAUACUGAAGUGAGACUGGACUCCAAGGAAUAGAUUCAGAUGGCAGCAGGUAGAGGAGACUUCCACACACUCAGUGAGGAUGCCUGGGGUCAGAGCCACCCUGUGGGGCACUGUACUAACAUCAGUCAACAGCAGAACAGGUGUGUCAAGUUGCUAUCCAAGAUGAGCCGUCACAGGUGUCUUCAGGAAGCCAGAGGGAGGACUGGGUUAUUGACCCUGCCCUGCACAACGACCUCAAAACAUACUGCCCAGGAGGGCACUGAAAGGAAAUGAGUUUUUCCCCUCCUAACUUAUGCCGGGAGGGAAGCAGGCAGAGAUCACAGCAGGCAAGUGGGGACUACAGCAGGGCAGAGUGGAUGGAUGUCUGUAGUCGUCUCGUAAAAUGACCCAACAAGGGAUGGUAGAAAUGGCCAAGCCGACAAAAGUGCUCGCCAUCAAGCCUGAUCCCCAGGACUGCAUGAUGGCAGGAGAUGGAAGUCCUACAAGUUGCUCUCUGACCUCUCCAAAUGUGCACCAUGGCACCUCCCCCACAACCAAUCAAUUGA
Mesocricetus auratus (golden hamster) is the source of this 635-nucleotide long non-coding RNA. RefSeq lists it as uncharacterized. Lineage: Eukaryota; Metazoa; Chordata; Mammalia; Rodentia; Cricetidae. The record is from RefSeq and is a predicted model, not a curated record. The transcript has 4 exons.